UGGCUUUGGCAGCUCCUCUACUAAAAUUGGAACAAUACAGAGACGAUUAGCAUGGCCUCUAAGCAAGGAUGACAUGCAAAUUGGUGAAGCAUUCCAUGUUUUU
Small nuclear RNA from Talpa occidentalis (Iberian mole), 103 nucleotides. Lineage: Eukaryota; Metazoa; Chordata; Mammalia; Eulipotyphla; Talpidae. The record is from RefSeq and is a predicted model, not a curated record.